RNAcentral lists this long non-coding RNA (2539 nucleotides) under Phoenix dactylifera (date palm). Its description in RNAcentral is "long non-coding RNA (PDAC_LNC001485)". Lineage: Eukaryota; Viridiplantae; Streptophyta; Magnoliopsida; Arecales; Arecaceae. The record is from RNAcentral.
AGAUUUAAAUUUUUCAGAUUCUAUAAUGAUAAGUGAUUGAUUUUUCAUAUUCUAUAAUGGUAAGUGAUUGAUUUUUCAUAUUCUAUAAUAAUAAGUUAUUUUGGGCUAACCUUUAUUUUUGGUCGUGGGAGUGAAUUCAUGUGGUCGUACGUUGUUCAGCUGAUUAUGUACACUACUGAUUCAAUCUUUCGGGCAACAAUGAUAACAUGUUUGGGAAGAAAUCUAGAAAAAUAGAACAUGCUAUAAGCAAAGUUUGCCAAAGGUUGUUGUGAUGAAGAAGUUGUCCAAUGGAGCCUGUGCACUGAUCAUGUGGUGCCAAAAAGAAACUUAAACUGAUUUAUAUAUUUCUCAAAAUCUAGGUAAUUUUCAAUCCACAAUUCAGUUUGUGUCAGUGUUGAUAAGCAAUAUCAACACUCUUUUCUAGUUUCUGCUCUAUAAGAUUAAGCUGAAGCCUCUGUCCUUUAUGCUGGUUUCUAUGUUUGACUUCACCUAUCCACGACGUGGAUUGCUGCAUUUGACCCUAGACAUUAUAUCUUUUUUAUUCAAGAACUACCUACCAUUUUAUAUAAAUGUUAGAAUAUAAGGAUUUUAACAUGUAACCUGUAAUUUUAUUAUUGAUAGAUCGCUUAUUUUCAAUCUGUAAGUUUGGAUACUAGUAACCGCACAACUUGUUUAUGUACAACCAUAAACAAACUUCAAAAAUACAAAUAAAAUAUUUACUUGUUACACACACUCAAGUAAAGAUUUUGAUGAUGUAACAAGUACUUUAGCAGGGAAUCUAACUCCAUUUAUCCACACAUUUGAUAUGUUUAAAUACAUAUGCAGGGAAAUGUGCGGAAAGGUAGUAAAAUUAGAUUAGCUUAUUGCUCUCCCAUCAUGGUAAUUGCACAUACCGUUAAGAAGGAAUUCUCUUUUUAUUUCCUACUGUUACCUUUUUUUCACUGUUCAUUUUCAGGAUUCUUUUCUUUUUGCUACCUACUUAGGGUGCUCUGCCGUCGCAAAAUUUAAGUAUUUGUAUAGAGAUGUUAGAAUGUUGCUUUCUCUAGGGUCAUUUGUCACUAUCCACUUGUCUAGGCUUGCUUACUUAGGCCUGAAAUAACAAACAAAGCAUAUGCCUUGAUUUUGGAUCCUUUCAUUCAUCUGUAAACUUUCAAAAGCUUGUUAUAAAAAGGGGUUCUAUUAAUAUUCGUUCAUUUGGAUUAAGUGCAUGAGAUAUAUGUAAGAUUAAAUUUCUUUUCGUUGUAUGUAGAUGAAUUUGCACUAUGGAUUAUCAUGUAACAUAUACUCAGUUUUUUCUACUCCAUCUUCAACCUGAUUUUGCAACAACAUGGUAGGUUGCAUAUCUUAAGAUCAUUCAUAUUUUUGAUUAUAGAGACAUGGUGUAUCCAAUAUUCCAAAACUGCACUUUAGGUUUCAACUUUUUGGCCAGCUCAUCAAGUUAUAGUAAUCGUAGUUUUGAUGGCUUCAGUGGUUUUGGAACUUUUGGUCCAAGCUUUGGAGUUGAGGGAAAAAUAAGAAAGAGAAGGGAAAACAAGAAAAAAAAUAACAAGUGAAGAAUGUUCGUGUGCAUGUGUAUGUGUGUAUCACAUGAUUUUAAAGAAUUUGGUAUUGUUUGGAAUCUUUUGGAGAUAUGGUUUUAGUGUUUUUGGGCUGAAAGACUUGAAACUAUCAAAAAAUAUUUAUAAAGGUUUUUGAGAAACUAACAAAAAUGCUAAAGAAGUCAUUUUAAUAUAUCAUUCAAUUAUCUGAUACAAUUUUAUUAUCUAAUACAGAAUAACAUGAAUUGAUGGAAGAGUAAAAUAUACUAAAAUCCCCUAUUUUCCCCAAGAGACAUUGAAACCCCAACAAAUGUCUUACAACUAGAAAAAAAUAACUUCCCCUAAAUUUAUUUGGACCGCAGUUUCAUAUGGUUCUGAUACACAUAAAUUUUUGAAAGUUUGAAUUUAACUUGUAUUUGAUCUUAAGGAAUUUUUUUUUUCAGAAACUUGAUUUAUCAACCAUCAGUAAGUGUCUCUUUAUAUAAUUCAAAAGAGAAAAUAAAAUUGACCUAAAACCAAUAAUAAUUACUUGGAUACAAGGACUUAGGUGCCACCAGAUGCUGGUCCAUGUCAGUUAGCAUGUACCAUGCUGGGCUUGUUUGGCACUCAACACUGGGUUGAUAUUGGUUAUCAAGUGUACAAGCCCAUACAUUUCAUACCAGUUUGGCAUGGGUUGUAGGGCUUGAUAACAAGUCCAAAGUCUUUUUUGUUAUAAAAAGUUUAAUUCUAGUUUCAGCAUGUCAUGACACAUGUAGGAACAGCAAAGCAUUCUAUGCUGGCCACUACACAUGCUAAAAAACUGAAGAAUGAAAUGAUAUUAAACACUCAGAAAAUUGUUGCAUUUACUAUCCAUAAACACUUUUGUCUGCAACAAUAACUGGCCAAACUUGGACUGAAAUGGACUGAAAAUGAGUUCGAAAGGUCAGUUUCGUCUUACGUCCAGCCUAUACUGACCGGUUUUUCCUAAAUGUUUCAAUUUUGGCUGAAAUUUUGGAAGUCAA